Labeo rohita (rohu) is the source of this 402-nucleotide non-coding RNA. The record is from the annotation of a RefSeq genome assembly. Lineage: Eukaryota; Metazoa; Chordata; Actinopteri; Cypriniformes; Cyprinidae.
UGAUGAUUAUAAGUGUGUGACACCGACACACACACAUACGAAACAAUGAUUUCUCUUAUUCUAAUGCUGGGUCUGCUUGCUCAAGUCUCUCAUGAAGAGGUUCAGUCUCCUGAGUCUCUGUCUGCUAAAGCAGGAGAUUCUGUCUCUAUCAGCUGCACUGGGACCAGCGGAGUUGAUGAUGACAUGAGCUGGUAUCUGCAAAAACCUGGAGAAGCUCCUAAACUCCUGAUCUAUAAAGCAAAUCAACUUUAUUCUGGAGUCCCAGAUCGGUUCAGUGGAAGUCAGAAUGGACUUGAGUUCACACUGAAUCUACGUGGAGUCCAGACUGAGGAUGCAGGAGAUUAUUACUGUAUGGGUGCUUAUCGUGGCCCAGUGUUCACACAGUGAAACAGCAUCGUACAA